AGCAGCCGCGGUAAUUCCAGCUCCAAUAGCGUAUAUUAAAGUUGUUGCAGUUAAAAAGCUCGUAGUUGAAUUUCGGGAUUGACGUGAUGGUCGUGCCUUACGGGGUAUGAACUGUUGCUGUUGAUUUCUCACCUUCUGGAGAAACUUGAUGUCCUUAAUUGGGUGUCUUGCGGAUCCAGGACCUUUACCUUGAAAAAAUUAGAGUGUUUAAAGCAGGCAUUUUGCUCGAAUACAUUAGCAUGGAAUAAUAGAAUAGGACGGCAUGGUUCUAUUUUGUUGGUUUCUAGGAUCACCGUAAUGAUUAAUAGGGAUAGUUGGGGGGCAUUAGUAUUCAAUUGUCAGAGGUGAAAUUCUUGGAUUUAUUGAAGACUAACUACUGCGAAAGCAUUUGCCAAGGAUGUUUUCAUUAAUCAAGAACGAAAGUUAGGGGGAUCAAGACGAUCAGAUACCGUCGUAGUCUUAACCAUAAACUAUGCCGACUAGGAAUCAGACGAUGUUAAUUUUUUAAUGACUCGUUUGG
This 520-nucleotide unclassified non-coding RNA is filed under the name uncultured Entrophospora. Its description in RNAcentral is "SSU rRNA". It matches the Rfam family "Eukaryotic small subunit ribosomal RNA", at positions 569 to 1083 of the family's 1831-position model. The record is from RNAcentral. Lineage: Eukaryota; Fungi; Glomeromycota; Glomeromycetes; Entrophosporales; Entrophosporaceae.